Small nucleolar RNA from Phyllostomus discolor (pale spear-nosed bat), 205 nucleotides. RefSeq annotates it as small nucleolar RNA SNORA73 family. Lineage: Eukaryota; Metazoa; Chordata; Mammalia; Chiroptera; Phyllostomidae. The record is from RefSeq and is a predicted model, not a curated record. The transcript has a single exon.
CCAACGUGAAUAACCCCAGGAGGUUACUCUCCCUGGGCUCUGUCCAGGUGGCAUAAGGGAGCAUAGGGUUCUGCCCUGUGAUGUACAGUCCCUUUCCACGAUGUUGGAGAGAAAGCCGGGCCUUGAGUCUGUGCCUGCAUAUUCCUACAGUUUCUCAGAGUCCUUUGGACAAUUACUGAGGGGACAAACCAUGCAGGAAACAUUU